This 71-nucleotide transfer RNA is filed under the name Loxodonta africana (African savanna elephant). It matches the Rfam family "tRNA". From Rfam's summary of the family: Transfer RNA (tRNA) molecules are approximately 80 nucleotides in length. Their secondary structure includes four short double-helical elements and three loops (D, anti-codon, and T loops). Lineage: Eukaryota; Metazoa; Chordata; Mammalia; Proboscidea; Elephantidae. The record is from Rfam by way of RNAcentral.
GCAUUUGUGGUCCAGCGGUAGGAUUCUCACCUUACGUGUGGGAGACCCAGGUUCGAUUCCCAGCCAAUGCA